Molecule: long non-coding RNA, 7019 nt
Organism: Wyeomyia smithii (pitcher-plant mosquito)
Lineage: Eukaryota; Metazoa; Arthropoda; Insecta; Diptera; Culicidae
Exons: 3
Source: RefSeq, a predicted model, not a curated record
AGUUGACAAACUGUAUCUGUAAAGAGCUCAACUUGUGCGUGCGACUUGCAACGCUCGAUUCCGGAUACUCAAAUUGUCACACAACCCGUUUCUCGAUGUGGUCAAACGGAAGCGUAAUCAAGUUUGUAGUUUUCAAGCCCAUAUACGUAUCGAUUCCUGACAGGCACUGGAGCAGAAUGAAACAAACACACGCAAGACAUCGAUAGCAUAGCAGACUUGCUGUGGCGUUCCCUGCCCAUCAACAUUGUGACCAACGGUGAAGUUUCUGGUAAUUAUUUUUGGCAACCACUUACCUCUCGCUCAUUGUUUCCGAAGGCGAUGCUGAGGUUGGGCAUCGCUCGCAAUAUGGCAACCAGCGAUUGUAUCGUGUUGCUAUAGACUACGGGUCGGUACUGUUUGAAGUCCUCUGAUGUGAAGCCACUUUCGUGAAUAAUUCUGCGAAAAAUCGGGAAACGAACGCAAUUGAUUAGAGUGAUUAUAACAGGCAGUGCUGUCGGUGAGGUGAAAUUUAAUUCUGCACCCCUGGAUGGCGUGUGGGUGGUGAUGUUUAUUAUCUUUUGGAAAUACGCUAUGUUCACUACGUUGGAUACUGCUAAAUAUAGCCGACCGGAAGCGCUAGAACUGGGCCAAAUGCUGUAACAUGUACCGUGACCUCGGCGGAAGCGCUGUAUUUCGCAGCCAACGGAGCAAGUUUACAAAUGGAGUAACAAGUGGGUCGAGCAUAAGGACCUAUUCGAAAAUAUGACUGAUGGAUGAAAAAUUCUACAUAAAAAACGGCUUGUUUGAUUGAAACACAAAAGUUGAGCGUGCUGUAGCAGUGUUGCUGGAAAAAUUCAAUGGUGAGCCGUUCGUCUGACAUUCAAUCAGUUUGGGGUGAAUAACUUUUUCUCCAAGCAUGUUAGGGAACAUCCAAAAAUGACGUAGCUUUUUUAGGUUUUUUGACACCCCCAUCGUAGCAUUUCGUCACAAAGUCAGACUCCCCUCUAAAUAAUUACGUAGCUUAAAAAACCCCGAUGACAUUGUUUCUGCAAAAUUUAUUAUCAAAAACAUACUUUGUAUCAUAAAUGACCGAGAAAACACAAGUAAGUAAUAAAAAUAAUCCUAAACAGGCAAAACAGUCAUAAAAAGUAAAUAAAAAGUAAAAUAUAAACAAAAAUCCCACACCACUGACCUCCCCCCCCCCUCACCCCAUCGUCACAUUUCGUCACAAAACUGCAAUCCCCCACCCUCCUCAAAUGCUACGACAUUUAUGGAUGUUUCCUUAGCGCCUUACGGUCUUCAGUAGGGUUAUUUUUCAGGAAAAUUUCCUACAGAUAUCAUGUAUCGAUGUAUUUUUGGGAACCAAUUGGACAUCUCUUGAGAAUAAAUUUGGAAAAAGUAAAAUUUCCCAUAUAAAAUCGUUUGAAAACUUUAAAAAUCGGGCGCAAAAAUAUAGUUUCACCGAUUGAUCUGAAAAGUUACAUAGUUGUCAUAGGACCAAUGAGGAACAUGAAAAGUGCAUGGGAGCUAACAUUCAUUUUUUGUUCCACCCUAUUAUAUAUGGACUUGAUUAUAUAGGAUUCGAAUAUAUAUAAUUUCAAACACGAUUAUACAUAGUAAAGAAGAAAAAAAUGUUUGACUUAUUUAGAGCUAAUAUGGCGUAAGGGAACAUCCAUAAAAUACGUUACCCUUGAUUGGAAGGGAAAAAAGCAGCCUGACAAAAAAUUUUCAAAAUAUAAAAAAUAGAAAAUAAACGAGAUGUAAAAUCAAUACCCAUUUAUCAAAAUUUUUCUUUACAUUUGACUCCAAUUACAUCAGAAAUAACUAUAAAUAAGUUAACAGAAGAAUCCCCUCAAAUCCAACGAACGCAUCCUUCACUACACCAAGAGACCAUCAGUCAAACAACAUACAAAAGUUUGGGUUCCACCUUUUAAUCGUCAGCAAUACGUUUCCGGCCAACGAAGAUCAAUCCGAUCGUUCCGGCCAACGAUAGACAUCAUCGAUAAACUGCAAACAAGCAGCAACGAGCCAGCCCAUCGACACCGAUUAAUUCACAGAUCGAAGACAACGCAGAGACCCCUGGAUCAGCAGAACUGGAUGAAGGCCACAUACCUGGUUACUAGGGGCAAAAAGUGUAGAUUAAGCAAUUAUUAUUCAGGUUCCAAAGCUAGUCAAAAUAAUUGUAUAAUCAGUCUUGUCUUGGGCUUAGAGUAGUGCAGUCACCUUUUUUAAAACUUCGAACGUAUCACUCUUCUCAAAACUUAUAUAGGGAAACUGUUCCAUAAUUCAGCUCAGCCCAUAUAUUCAUUUUAUACAACAUGGAAACACAAUUGAAAACAGGAAAAAACGCAUAUUUUCUAAAUAAAGCAAUCUGCUAAUCCAUGGAAUGGAUUCUUCUUAGUUCACUUUAGAUUUCUCAUAAAGAAGAAUUCUCAAAAACUCACUUAAAAGCUCUAAAUUUGAUAUUAAAGUCGGUCAUCUGCACUCGAAAACUCUUUUGUUUCAAUCAUCUACCUCAGAAAACAAAAUCCGCGCAUUGCUCUAUACGGCUACAACGGGACUCGUUCAGCAGCCAACCAAAGUUUUUUUUUUCAUCAUUAGCGGACCACUAAGACUACUUCAAUCGUCAAAAUGUUCACCUCAAAUUUCCAAAAUCAAGCAUCAAGUAGCAAAAAUAUAUGAGAUGAGUUUUUACAAAUUUUAGACUUCAACUGUUCCAUCUGUUUUCACUGCGUUGAAGAAAAUCAAAAGUCGCCAAAUCAGUUUCUGUUAAUACGAAAAAAUCAUACUGAAAAAGUUGAAUUAUUCCGACAUAAUUGACAUAAAUCGACAGCACUGCAGUGGUUACCUAAGUUACCAAUGUUGCACGUAAACAACUACAGCAGAUACUUAGGUAACCUACUACGACAGUCUGCGGCUCCGUUCAUUCAUGAUAAUGUGAUUCAUUUAUGAUUAACAGUAAGAUGAUUAUGGGGGCGUCGUGAGAUGAAUAAUUGAGCAAUGAUUUAAGUUUUGAGAUGGAUAUGGAAGCGUUGUGAAAAAUGGUUUGUUUUACAAAAUUCUAAAUUCUAUAAGAGCACGUAAGCGUAUUUUGUAAAAUUGUUCAAUGAUUUCGUGAAAAUUUGGUGUUUAAUCCGUGCAUUCUUCGUGAAUAUCGGCUUAAUGAGACGAAUAAUGAAACACUAUAUUUUUUGUAGAAAAUGUGUUUUCUGACUUUUAGAGGGAUGAGUCGAAAAUGAAACUUUUCUUAUUUAUUCGGAAACAACAAAACAUCUAUGUAGAAAAAAUAUUUUUUUCCGCUGAUUCGAUUAUAAAUUCGAUUACAUAACUAAAGAAAAUAAAUCGGAGACCAUAUAUAAUUGAGUCCGGCCGGUAUAGAAACACUAUCUGAAAAUGAAUUCGAGAGAACUGAUAAUGCGUCGAAAAAAAUGUACAACGUAAAAGAUUUUUUACUACAAACAUUUCUAAAUUAACACUAAAUUUUGUUCUUGAAACAAAAAGUUGCAUAUUUUCAUUUUUUUAAUACAAUAGAACAUCAACAAAACUUUUGGUAAAAAGUUAGGAUGGUUAAGUUUUGUUCUUAGAGGUUAGGUAUAAGUGAUUUUUUUCAAUUCUAGCAUUUUUAGGAUUGCUUGUUUUUAGCUGUUAUUCAAACUCAAAAAAGUGAAAUUGAAAAGUUUUUAAGAUUUUAUUUAAUACAACAAACAAUUUUUUUUUCUCGGUCAUAUUUUCUAGGAGCGUGCUGUAGCAGUGUUGCUGGAAAAAUUCAAUGGUGAGCCGUUCGUCUGACAUUCAAUCAGUUUGGGGUGAAUAACUUUUUCUCCAAGCAUGUUAGGGAACAUCCAAAAAUGACGUAGCUUUUUUAGGUUUUUUGACACCCCCAUCGUAGCAUUUCGUCACAAAGUCAGACUCCCCUCUAAAUAAUUACGUAGCUUAAAAAACCCCGAUGACAUUGUUUCUGCAAAAUUUAUUAUCAAAAACAUACUUUGUAUCAUAAAUGACCGAGAAAACACAAGUAAGUAAUAAAAAUAAUCCUAAACAGGCAAAACAGUCAUAAAAAGUAAAUAAAAAGUAAAAUAUAAACAAAAAUCCCACACCACUGACCUCCCCCCCCCCUCACCCCAUCGUCACAUUUCGUCACAAAACUGCAAUCCCCCACCCUCCUCAAAUGCUACGACAUUUAUGGAUGUUUCCUUAGCGCCUUACGGUCUUCAGUAGGGUUAUUUUUCAGGAAAAUUUCCUACAGAUAUCAUGUAUCGAUGUAUUUUUGGGAACCAAUUGGACAUCUCUUGAGAAUAAAUUUGGAAAAAGUAAAAUUUCCCAUAUAAAAUCGUUUGAAAACUUUAAAAAUCGGGCGCAAAAAUAUAGUUUCACCGAUUGAUCUGAAAAGUUACAUAGUUGUCAUAGGACCAAUGAGGAACAUGAAAAGUGCAUGGGAGCUAACAUUCAUUUUUUGUUCCACCCUAUUAUAUAUGGACUUGAUUAUAUAGGAUUCGAAUAUAUAUAAUUUCAAACACGAUUAUACAUAGUAAAGAAGAAAAAAAUGUUUGACUUAUUUAGAGCUAAUAUGGCGUAAGGGAACAUCCAUAAAAUACGUUACCCUUGAUUGGAAGGGAAAAAAGCAGCCUGACAAAAAAUUUUCAAAAUAUAAAAAAUAGAAAAUAAACGAGAUGUAAAAUCAAUACCCAUUUAUCAAAAUUUUUCUUUACAUUUGACUCCAAUUACAUCAGAAAUAACUAUAAAUAAGUUAACAGAAGAAUCCCCUCAAAUCCAACGAACGCAUCCUUCACUACACCAAGAGACCAUCAGUCAAACAACAUACAAAAGUUUGGGUUCCACCUUUUAAUCGUCAGCAAUACGUUUCCGGCCAACGAAGAUCAAUCCGAUCGUUCCGGCCAACGAUAGACAUCAUCGAUAAACUGCAAACAAGCAGCAACGAGCCAGCCCAUCGACACCGAUUAAUUCACAGAUCGAAGACAACGCAGAGACCCCUGGAUCAGCAGAACUGGAUGAAGGCCACAUACCUGGUUACUAGGGGCAAAAAGUGUAGAUUAAGCAAUUAUUAUUCAGGUUCCAAAGCUAGUCAAAAUAAUUGUAUAAUCAGUCUUGUCUUGGGCUUAGAGUAGUGCAGUCACCUUUUUUAAAACUUCGAACGUAUCACUCUUCUCAAAACUUAUAUAGGGAAACUGUUCCAUAAUUCAGCUCAGCCCAUAUAUUCAUUUUAUACAACAUGGAAACACAAUUGAAAACAGGAAAAAACGCAUAUUUUCUAAAUAAAGCAAUCUGCUAAUCCAUGGAAUGGAUUCUUCUUAGUUCACUUUAGAUUUCUCAUAAAGUAGAAUUCUCAAAAACUCACUUAAAAGCUCUAAAUUUGAUAUUAAAGUCGGUCAUCUGCACUCGAAAACUCUUUUGUUUCAAUCAUCUACCUCAGAAAACAAAAUCCGCGCAUUGCUCUAUACGGCUACAACGGGACUCGUUCAGCAGCCAACCAAAGUUUUUUUUUUCAUCAUUAGCGGACCACUAAGACUACUUCAAUCGUCAAAAUGUUCACCUCAAAUUUCCAAAAUCAAGCAUCAAGUAGCAAAAAUAUAUGAGAUGAGUUUUUACAAAUUUUAGACUUCAACUGUUCCAUCUGUUUUCACUGCGUUGAAGAAAAUCAAAAGUCGCCAAAUCAGUUUCUGUUAAUACGAAAAAAUCAUACUGAAAAAGUUGAAUUAUUCCGACAUAAUUGACAUAAAUCGACAGCACUGCAGUGGUUACCUAAGUUACCAAUGUUGCACGUAAACAACUACAGCAGAUACUUAGGUAACCUACUACGACAGUCUGCGGCUCCGUUCAUUCAUGAUAAUGUGAUUCAUUUAUGAUUAACAGUAAGAUGAUUAUGGGGGCGUCGUGAGAUGAAUAAUUGAGCAAUGAUUUAAGUUUUGAGAUGGAUAUGGAAGCGUUGUGAAAAAUGGUUUGUUUUACAAAAUUCUAAAUUCUAUAAGAGCACGUAAGCGUAUUUUGUAAAAUUGUUCAAUGAUUUCGUGAAAAUUUGGUGUUUAAUCCGUGCAUUCUUCGUGAAUAUCGGCUUAAUGAGACGAAUAAUGAAACACUAUAUUUUUUGUAGAAAAUGUGUUUUCUGACUUUUAGAGGGAUGAGUCGAAAAUGAAACUUUUCUUAUUUAUUCGGAAACAACAAAACAUCUAUGUAGAAAAAAUAUUUUUUUCCGCUGAUUCGAUUAUAAAUUCGAUUACAUAACUAAAGAAAAUAAAUCGGAGACCAUAUAUAAUUGAGUCCGGCCGGUAUAGAAACACUAUCUGAAAAUGAAUUCGAGAGAACUGAUAAUGCGUCGAAAAAAAUGUACAACGUAAAAGAUUUUUUACUACAAACAUUUCUAAAUUAACACUAAAUUUUGUUCUUGAAACAAAAAGUUGCAUAUUUUCAUUUUUUUAAUACAAUAGAACAUCAACAAAACUUUUGGUAAAAAGUUAGGAUGGUUAAGUUUUGUUCUUAGAGGUUAGGUAUAAGUGAUUUUUUUCAAUUCUAGCAUUUUUAGGAUUGCUUGUUUUUAGCUGUUAUUCAAACUCAAAAAAGUGAAAUUGAAAAGUUUUUAAGAUUUUAUUUAAUACAACAUUUUUAAGUAUAAUCCAAAUCCAAUGAUGCAAUAUGAUUGAAAUAGUAAUUUUAAAUCAUGCUGGACGACAAAUUGCAUUUGUUUUUGAGGUUUUUAAAUAGUUUCUAAAACUAGAAUUUCUAUGAAAAUACGCCUUUUUGUAAGUUAAUCGUGGUUCUUGAGCAAAAAGCAUAGAUUUAUAGAAAUGUGCGUAAAAUAUUUAGAGAAUUCUUUAAAAAAAAUAACUUUUAGGUAAACAUUUUUCUUACAUUCAUCCAUCCUAAACUUAUAACCACAACUUUCGUGUCUACUCUCAAGUUGCAAUUAAAAUGGAUUACAAAAGAAAAUUUGGCAACUCUUUUCUUUCAAUAUAAAGUUCAGUGUUUAUUUGCUAAUUUACUAAACUAAUAACUUGUGUUUAACCUAGAGACGUAAGUAAAUUUCU